GGGUAUGUAGCUCAGUGGGAGAGUGCUUGCUUGCUUUGCAUGUAAGAGGCCCUGGGUUCAACCCCUAGUAUCUCCA
Molecule: transfer RNA, 76 nt
Filed under: Pelecanus crispus (Dalmatian pelican)
Lineage: Eukaryota; Metazoa; Chordata; Aves; Pelecaniformes; Pelecanidae
Rfam family: tRNA
About the family: Transfer RNA (tRNA) molecules are approximately 80 nucleotides in length. Their secondary structure includes four short double-helical elements and three loops (D, anti-codon, and T loops).
Source: Rfam by way of RNAcentral